Molecule: small RNA, 241 nt
Filed under: Arabidopsis thaliana (thale cress)
Lineage: Eukaryota; Viridiplantae; Streptophyta; Magnoliopsida; Brassicales; Brassicaceae
Description: ATSL304500
Source: RNAcentral
UCACUUGAUGACUUUCACGGUUUUAUCCUUGGUAAAAAUAAUCAAACUUAAACUUUACAUGAUUUCCAUGCUAUUGAUAUUAGACUGUGGGCUUCCAACUUAAAACCAAUUGGCAAUAGGUGGAGAGACCCAUAUCUUAUAUAUACCACUUAAGAUCCUACUCAACUUCCGAUGUGGGACAUUGUCCCUAAUAAUUGAUUCUUUGACUUUCAAUGGCCAACAAAACCAAAUCUUAUGAGAU